Long non-coding RNA from Alligator mississippiensis (American alligator), 5457 nucleotides. RefSeq lists it as uncharacterized. The transcript has 3 exons. The record is from RefSeq and is a predicted model, not a curated record. Lineage: Eukaryota; Metazoa; Chordata; Crocodylia; Alligatoridae.
ACUGGAUAAAACAGCAGCUGGAAACUCUCUCAGAAGCAGGGACAGAAAGUGAUUCUCUGAAGAAUCCAUAUAUAGAAAGGAAAGAAGGAUUCUGGACUCUGUUGCCCAUAGAAAACUGAAGUUGUGAGGAAAUGAAAGUAUGGAUAUCAUUACAGGUUGGCUGAUUUCUAGGUUUCCAUUUUAUUCAUCUUCAUUUGUUUGCUCAGAGGACAAAACAUUAAGAAAUGGAGAAAAAGAUCAACAGGUUAUACUUCAGCCACUGAAGUGAUAUCCUGACACCGGUGAAGUGGCAAGACUCCCAUUAAUUCCAAUAGGGCCAGGAUUCCAGCCUCGAUAUCUGUUCUGAGAGUGCUGCUGUGCCUGUUUUCAUUUUAUAACAACUUCAUAGCUCAACUGUUAAAAAACAAGAUCUUAGAAAACUCAGAUUGUCAUUGGUUAAAAAAAAAACAAAAACAAAAACAACAAAAAAAAAAGUGUGUCUAUUUAUGGUCAUUAUAUGCCACCCUUAUUCUCACUCGUGAACACUUAUUUUCAUGUGUAAUUCUGCUGACUUCAAGGGGGGCAUACUUGGGCCAGAUUCUGUUCCAACUAUUAGGCACAUAUGAGUGGACUUAGAUGCCUAAAUUCAACCCUAUUCCAUCAAAUCUGCAUCCCUGAAAAACGGUUAAUAUACAAAAGGUGCUUUUGUCUUCUUCCUCCUUGCUGGACUUUUAUUUUUUGAGACUCAGUCUUCAGAGUAAGAUGAUGAUAUAUUACAAAAGUAGAUGCAUUCAUGGAUUUUCAGAGACUUGAACAGACUAGAAUAGAAUCGCAUUUAGACCCUAUAACAGGUCACCCUCCCCAGCGCCAUCUUCCCUGUUAUCCGCGCCUUACAUGAGGCAGUCUUGAAGUCCCCUUUAAGGUUCUUGUGUCCUGCUCUCUACUCACCUGCCAUGUCUUGAUGGAAACUAUUAUACUGAUGUUCUAGUAAGGGGGAGACUGCCCAUUGUAUUGUGUGUUGGGUCUUCCGCCUCCACGGACCUUGACCCCUGUCUUUCUCUAGCUAGUCCUCCCUGUCUAAACCCACCAAACAAGGUUUGACCCUGAGGUACUAGCCUUUUCUCCCUUAUCUUGAGGCUCGUGGCCCUCAUUUCUGCUCCAAUCUAAAUCCUGGCCUACAGGCCCAGCCACCGGCCCCACAGCCAGGAGGUCGCAAGCCCAAAGCCGGGUAAUGGCCUUGAACUCACGCUGUCCCAGUCCAAAAUCAUGGUUUCCAUGAAAAUUGCAGUAGGGCCCUAAUCAUAAUACCUUGCCCUGUUCCUGGGUAUAUACUCUCCAAUGACCCUGCUCAUUUUACCUUCAGUCUCUAAAAUUGCAAUCCCUUCUUGAUAGGGACAUCUCUUACAAUGCCUAGCACAAUGUAGCUCUAAUUUCAGUUGGAGCUUCUAGACUAUAUUAUUUCAGAACUAAUAACUAAUUGUUAAUCCUCCCUAGCACUGUUUACAUAUUUUUUUCAUAUUAAUUUGGAUCAAUAUGAAAAACAUUGUUGUACUCUUUGGGUUUCUCUUUGCAGGCCUGUGCCUUAAUAAUUUGAAACAGAAAUUGCCUGCAUACUUCUUAGUUGCAAAUGGCAUCUGUUCCCUAUGAACUUUCAGAUCCUCACGCAUGACAUUUGCUAUGCUUGGGUAAUUUUCUUUGAGAUACAUACUAACUAGAGAGUGAGCUCUUAGUCUGAAAUGUUUGUGACUGAAGAUCUUAUCUUCAACACCAAACUAUAAAUUAAACAGAGCAAUAUAAACAAAUUAGUGGCAAGUGACAAUAUUCUCCAGGGUAACAGGCUGGCAUAACUUAGACACACUGCCUGGACAUUAACAUUUUCUACUGGAAAUGUCUAUCUAAGCUGCAGGGUCAAAACCCUAUACUGAAUGGUCAAAAGCAUCAGGCCAAUACAUCCAAGUGCAAGAAAUAGCAUAACUAAAGGUGGGCAAGCAGUGGAGAGGGUGCCAGUAUGGUCUCUUCCCACAGAAAUCUUUACCAUGGUAGGGCUAGCUGUAAGAGCUAGAAUUUGCCACAGGAGGCACAGCCCUGACUUUGCAGGAAGGAUUGGAGCAAACGAAGCACCAGAAGUAGUCCCCAGGGAUCUGUGCUGCUUCCUGUCCUCCAGUGGUAGCAGCCCAAUGUAUGCUUUUGUAGCAGUUGUUGACUGGAGAAGGGCAUGUCAAUGGAUUAAUUUUAUAAAUAGAAUGAGGCCCAUAAUAAGCAGCACAACUUCUCCUGCAAAGGAGUGGCUGAAUGGAAUGUAUCUUUUGCAUACUGUUGGUCCAACCUGACUUGCUCUGGGCUUUCCAGAGCAGGCUAGAGGCCUGGCUUGGUUUGUUAGUUAAAUAAAUUGAUUGACACCGAAAGUUAUAAACAAAUGGGUUAUUAUUAAACAAAAGGGAAAUAACAACAGGGGAGAAAUAAGACAAAGAAGAUAAUACAAUAACAAUAAUAGACAAAGAUGUGAGAUCACAGCAGUAAUCCUUCAGAGACAAAGGCUGCUUUCUAUUGCCAGGCAGUAUUGUGCUGCCUUAUUUCCAGGCGAUAAUUCUCACUCACACCCACUUUCUUCCAAACAAUCUCACGCAAUGAUGACUCUCCACAAAACUCAUGACUCUCAAACCCAAAACCCACACACAAGUUCCGACCAAACACCAACAGACUCGCACUCUAGGGCUCUGGUCAACAGCCUUUAUAUAGUCCAGUCACCCCCUCUUUAUCAACCAACCAGUGUCCAAUCUGUGUUGUUAAUCAACCUGUUGAUACAUUUCUCACUCUUCAUCCAAUCAUACUCUGAAUCACCUCAGGCAUGCAGCUAAUAUCCACACAUCAAUCAUUCUACUCUUUUCCUCCAAAAUCCCAAAUAUAUUGCGCAUGCUCAAUUUUGAUAAUUGGAGCAAAAGUUGGAAAGGUCUGGCCUUCUAGAACCAUCCAACCAUGCUGUGCAUGCCUUAAGCAAGUAAACUAAGGUAUGCUUGAAUGGUAUUCAGGAACAACAAAUAUGCAAAGUAACUAAACUUUGUUACACAGUAGCAGCUGCUGCUGGAGUGAAAAGAGCUGGGCACAUAAGACACUUCUCCAUCAACUAACUUGAGUCCCCUCUUCUCCUUCCGCCAACUUCCCCUCUCCACUAGUCAGCAUCAUACCCCCUCACCUCCACCUCUGCCCCAGGGUGAAAGAGUUCACUAUGUUAAUGAGCAUGAGAUAAGGUUACAUGCAUUCCAUUUUUUUCCAGAACAUUCAGAAGACUGAGUUUAUAUUAGCACCAUUAUUCCAAGAUUUGCUAAGACAACUAAACUAAACAAUGUGCUCAUGCAAUAUGCAAAAUAAUCUGGAAACUACCUGUUCUAACAUUAUCAAGACUCUAUGGAUACUGUUCAUGGGCUUUGAUCCAUAAACCUUAUAGCUGUCUGUGAUUUAUUCAGAGUUGGGUGAAAGUGUAGCCAUACACAGAAUUAUGGGAGUGCAGUUAUAUCACCAAAAUUUAAACUGCUCGUAUCAUACACAUAUCAUAAAUAUGAUCAUUUGUUUCCCAUAAGACAAGGAAACAAAAGCUUUGAUCCUCUUUGUAGUAACCUAGGACAUCUUUACACGUGCUCCUGGGUGGGGGGUUUUAAUUAGAGGGGCUCUUGGGAGCUGUUCUAAUUUGAGCACCUGCAGCAUCUCAUGUACUUGGGGUCCUGCACUUCAAAAUGGCAGUGGAGGUACUUUAACUAAAGCUCGUUCAAUGAGUUUUAGUUAAAGUCCCCUCACUGCCAUUUUGAAAUGUGGGGACACUGAGUACACAUGACACUGAGGCUGCUGGAGGGUUCUAAUUAGAAUGCUCCAAAAGAAUCAAUUAAUCAAAAUAAUCUGCUUGAUUGAGAAGACUCGAUUAAUUGAGUCUGCUCUGGUGCAUUCUAAUUAGAACACACUGGAGCAGGUGUCAGGCACGUGUGUAGGUGCUCUUAGUUGCUGAUACCUUAGAAUUUAAUUGCUGACGUACCUUAUACAAAAAUUUCUUAGCCUAUGUGAGAAGAGGCAGCAAUGUGCAAUGUGAAUUACUUUGUCAAAGGUCAGAAUGGCCUUAGGGUCUUUGUUGGGAGCUGAAAGAAAAAAAAAAAAAAAAAAAAAAAAAAAAAUGUAGAAUUUGAAGGAGCUAGACCACUUCACUUCUUUUUCCUCACAUGAUUUCUGUAAAAUAACUGGAAGUGAAAGAAGAAAAUUGUAGAAAUAAACAAGGAUUUUAAGGAUAAAUGUUAAAGCCACAGUAUUUUAUGUAGCCAAACUUUGGAUAGUAUACACAGAAAAGCAGUACCUGUUUUGGUAUUUUAAAAAAGUCCAAAAGAACAACACCAAAAUUUCUUGAAGGGACAGGAUUUGUAAAAACUAGCCUAACUAAAAUGCUUGUUUAUGGGAGGCUUUUUUUUGUUUCUAUUAUAAAAUGCCUAUUAGUAUUUAAACAUACUUUUAUGCUGUAACCCUUUAAUGAAGUGCCUCUGUUUAUCUGGGAGCUUAGAUUAUACAGUUAGGCUGAGAUUUUCAAAGCAGAUGAAAAGUUAAUUCAAACUGCACUGCCAGGUCCUUGAGGUCACUUGGGGAAUCCCAUACUGAAAAGACAUGCCUGACAAGAUCUGUCUGAGGUUCCUCAAACUGUUUUCAUAUUUAGAAGAUCUUAAUAUUAAACUAGUUCAGGUUCUCCAGAAAUAGUGUGUAAAUGUUACUGUUUGUGAAGUCAUUGUUCAGGGUCCUCGUGGUGGAUCACAAACCUAUUAAGUCAACUGUCCUAGAUGAGCUGCAGCUCUGCUGAGGACAACAUGUAGGCACCCAAAGGCACAUGGGUUUGAAAUUACACAUUGUCCUACUGAAUAUGAACUUGCAUCCCAGAAAGGAAACUGCAUUAAAUCCACUGAAGAGAAACAGACUUGCCGAGGUGGAGCUGCCUUCAUCAAUACUGCUUUGCUGCAAACUACUAAAUGCAUUAUAAGAAAGGAACACUUUCAUACAACCAUUCUUCAAUUUUCAGAGACUAUGAUGACCUAUUUCUUUAAGGAACAAGGAAAUUGUUUGUGCUAAAGAGAUAACAGUACAAAAAGUUUUCCUUAUAUCUUCUGCAUCUCUCCACAAUUUUCUCCUCUCAUCCUGCUUUAACUUUUUUCUGUCUUCAUUUUCUCUGGCCUUCGGUCCUAUCAUUUUGGGGGGAUAGUUUAAAUGAACAUGUUUGAUUUCUGCGAAAGUUUUCCUAAAAUCCCCAUUUUUUUUGUACAGCUUAUAGAAGGGUGUAGAAAAAAGGCGCACAAAGGGAAAAUUUAUUGAGCUGAGCUCUGCUCAUACCUCAUUGCAGAAAUUAAUUAUAAAGCCUUAGGCAGCUUGUUAUGGCAGAAGCACUGCCAGAUUUUAUAAUGUUAAAUGAAGCUUACUCAUUAAGCCCACAUAGGAAGUUAAUUCUACUUCAUUUUA